This 442-nucleotide ribosomal RNA is filed under the name uncultured Sphingomonas sp. RNAcentral's name for it is "bacterial SSU rRNA". It matches the Rfam family "Bacterial small subunit ribosomal RNA", at positions 335 to 795 of the family's 1533-position model. The record is from RNAcentral. Lineage: Bacteria; Pseudomonadati; Pseudomonadota; Alphaproteobacteria; Sphingomonadales; Sphingomonadaceae.
GCCCUACGGGUGGCUGCAGUGGGGAAUAUUGGACAAUGGGCGAAAGCCUGAUCCAGCAAUGCCGCGUGAGUGAUGAAGGCCUUAGGGUUGUAAAGCUCUUUUACCCGGGAUGAUAAUGACAGUACCGGGAGAAUAAGCUCCGGCUAACUCCGUGCCAGCAGCCGCGGUAAUACGGAGGGAGCUAGCGUUGUUCGGAAUUACUGGGCGUAAAGCGCACGUAGGCGGCUUUGUAAGUUAGAGGUGAAAGCCUGGAGCUCAACUCCAGAAUUGCCUUUAAGACUGCAUCGCUUGAAUCCGGGAGAGGUGAGUGGAAUUCCGAGUGUAGAGGUGAAAUUCGUAGAUAUUCGGAAGAACACCAGUGGCGAAGGCGGCUCACUGGACCGGUAUUGACGCUGAGGUGCGAAAGCGUGGGGAGCAAACAGGAUUAGAUACCCGGGUAGUC